RNAcentral lists this unclassified non-coding RNA (939 nucleotides) under Hevea brasiliensis (rubber tree). Lineage: Eukaryota; Viridiplantae; Streptophyta; Magnoliopsida; Malpighiales; Euphorbiaceae. The record is from RNAcentral.
GUCCAAGUAAAAUUUCAAAUCACUUGAAUGCGAAGUUCCGUAUUGACAUGACUUCAACCCCUUAGGAAUUUGAUAGGAAGAGAGCUUUACAUUGCUCCACUGUAUCUUCAGGGCUGGUAACUGUGUGACCCACAGUUCGUUCUGAUUCAUAUAUUUCAUGAUCAUUUCCUCCCUUGUAAGUUUUGUCCCCAAAGAAGUGGAUUUCAUCAAACUCAUCAAGGUAUCUCAAGCAGUAUGUCUUGUCCCAACCUUGAGGAAAAACAUCAAAGCUUAUCUGUCCGCCUAUUGAGAAUGUCAGGUUAAGGUGAGCGAACUUCUCACGCAGCACAGAUACCAUUUUUGAGCGUAUGUUAUGGACCUUGUCAUACUUUUCAAAUUCAUCCCUUUCUUCUUGGCUGCAAUUCCGCCCAAUUGGUGAUACAUUAAUCAUCCCACUCCGGAAUUCUAUAAAUGUGCCCCUUUUUAUUGGAAUAUCCAAGUCAGCAAUAUAAUGAAGUGUAAAAUUUAAAAAUUCCUUGAGUUUUUCUUCUCCAAGAAAUGUCUUCAUGCUCUGGGUGCCAAUAAGUUUCCCAUCUUUAUGAGCCACAAGCCCAUUCUCAGAAAAUACAUAGUCGUAGUCCUUAGUAACUGUCUUGCCAAGCUGCUCUGAUAUCUUACAGAGAUCAGAUCCACCCACCACUCCCACAGUAACAACUUUCCGGAGUUCCUGCAUGAACUCUAGCAUCUUUGGAGUGGCCAGCUUUCUUGGUGCUGUGAGAGUACCAUCAACAUCAAAUAAAGCAAUCAAACCGGGCUUUCUCACAGCCAUUGGAGCUAAUAUAUAUCUUUAUUUCCCAGCGAAUCAGCGAGUAGUAUGCAGCUUGGUUGUAUUAGAUUCCGCACCAGAAUCUGGAAACGGAAUUUAAACCAGAUCUCAAAUGGUGGAUCCCAAGGAUUGAG